Molecule: ribosomal RNA, 171 nt
Filed under: uncultured bacterium
Lineage: Bacteria
Description: partial 16S ribosomal RNA
Rfam family: Bacterial small subunit ribosomal RNA
Source: RNAcentral
GGCCUAGGGAGGCAGCAGUGGGGAAUUGUUCGCAAUGGGCGCAAGCCCGACGACGCAACGCCGCGUGGAGGAUGAAGGUCUUCGGAUUGUAAACUCCUUUUGCAGGGGAAGAUAAUGACGGUACCCUGCGAAUAAGCCACGGCUAACUCUGUGCCAGCAGCCGCGGUAAUA